This 722-nucleotide long non-coding RNA is filed under the name Homo sapiens (human). Lineage: Eukaryota; Metazoa; Chordata; Mammalia; Primates; Hominidae. The record is from RNAcentral.
CAUCUCUACUAAAAAUACAAAAAUUAGCCAGGCCUGGUGGUGGGUGCCUAUAAUCCCAGCUACUCGGGAGACUGAGGCAGUAGAAUUGCUUGAACCUGGGAGGCAGAGGUUGCAGUGAGCUGAGAUCGUGCCACUGCACUCCAGCUUGAGUGACAGAGUGAGACUCCGUCUCAAAAAUAAAAAAAAACAAAAACAAAAGAGUGUCCAUUAUCUAUACUGGAAAAAUUGAGAUUGGGAUUUUUGACAUGAAGUGCGGAAAUGUGGAUUGGGUCCAUUUAGUUUACCUAAACAGAUGAUGAAAUACUAACUGUUUUACGAAGCAUUCCCUAGUGCAAAGUUUUGCCUGUGUGUCUAGUGACGGGAACAGUAAGAAUGAGGCUUGGAACGCGGAGUGCAUUGUGGGCCUGUCGUGGGUGGGGCCAGCAGCACAUGCAUGCCUGGCUCACAGAGCAGCCUUUGGGUGUUCUUUUCCUGGAGGAGCUCUACGGUGAUUUUGAAGACUUGGAAACGGGACGUGCACAAGGGAAAAUCGGGCCCCGACACUCAGAAUGAAGAUAUAGAGAAACAAGGAAGAAAUUGACCCUGACGAAGAAGAAAGUGCCAAGAAAAAGCAUUUGGAUAAGAAGAGAAAAUUGAAGGAGAUGUUUGAUGCAGAAUAUGAUGAAGGAGAAAGCACAUAUUUUGAUGAUCUUAAAGGAGAAAUGCAGAAAGAAGCACAGGUG